Molecule: ribosomal RNA, 421 nt
Filed under: uncultured bacterium
Lineage: Bacteria
Description: bacterial SSU rRNA
Rfam family: Bacterial small subunit ribosomal RNA
Source: RNAcentral
UAAGGAAUAUUGGUCAAUGGACGCAAGUCUGAACCAGCCAUGCCGCGUGAAGGAUGAAGGUCCUCUGGAUUGUAAACUUCUUUUAUCUGGGACGAAAACGGGAUUUUUAUCUCAAUUGACGGUACCAGAGGAAUAAGCACCGGCUAACUCCGUGCCAGCAGCCGCGGUAAUACGGAGGGUGCGAGCGUUAUCCGGAUUUACUGGGUUUAAAGGGUGCGUAGGUGGGCUUAUAAGUCAGUGGUGAAAUCUCCGAGCUUAACUUGGAAACUGCCGUUGAUACUAUAGCUCUUGAAUUAUCUGGAGGUAAGCGGAAUAUGUCAUGUAGCGGUGAAAUGCUUAGAUAUGACAUAGAACACCAAUUGCGAAGGCAGCUUACUACAUAUAAAUUGACGCUGAGGCACGAAAGCGUGGGGAUCAAACA